RNAcentral lists this ribosomal RNA (501 nucleotides) under uncultured bacterium. Its description in RNAcentral is "partial 16S ribosomal RNA". The record is from RNAcentral.
CACGUAGUUAGCCGGAGCUUUCUUCACCGGUACAGUCUUUUUCUUCCCUGUGGACAAUAGUUUACAAUCCGAAAACCUUCUUCCUAUACGCGGCGUCACUGCGUCAGAGUUGCCUCCAUUGCGCAAUAUUCCCGACUGCUGCCUCCCGUAGGAGUCUGGGCCGUAUCUCAGUCCCAAUGUGGCCGUUCAACCUCUCAGUCCGGCUACUGAUCGUCGCCUUGGUAGGCCUUUACCCCACCAACUAGCUAAUCAGCCGCAAGCUCAUCUAUCAGCGAAUUGCUUCUUUCCCACUAACAUCAUGCGAUGUUUAUGGCAUAUGCGGUAUUAGCAGUGAUUUCUCACUGUUACUUCCCCUCUGAUUAGGCAGUAUUUCUUACGUGUUACUCUACCAGUCCCGCCACUAACCGCUUACCUUGCUAAGCAAAGACUAUUAAGUUCGUUACGACUUUGCAUGUCUUAUGUGCGCCGCCAGUCCGUUUAUCCCGUGACGCCAGGACUACG